RNAcentral lists this ribosomal RNA (500 nucleotides) under uncultured Glomeromycotina. RNAcentral's name for it is "partial small subunit ribosomal RNA". It matches the Rfam family "Eukaryotic small subunit ribosomal RNA", at positions 591 to 1092 of the family's 1831-position model. Lineage: Eukaryota; Fungi; Glomeromycota. The record is from RNAcentral.
CCAAUAGCGUAUAUUAAAGUUGUUGCAGUUAAAAAGCUCGUAGUUGAAUUUCGGGGUCAGUAGGUUGGUCGUGCCACUGGUAUGUACUGGUCUCACUGAUUCCUCCUUCCUGAUGAGCUGUAAUGCCAUUAAUCUGGUGUUGCAGGGAAUCUGGACUGUUACUUUGAAAAAAUUAGAGUGUUUAAAGCAGGCUAGCGCUUGAAUACAUUAGCAUGGAAUAAUGAAAUAGGACGUUCGAUCCUAUUUUGUUGGUUUCUAGGAUUGACGUAAUGAUUAAUAGGGAUAGUUGGGGGCAUUAGUAUUCAAUUGUCAGAGGUGAAAUUCUUGGAUUUAUUGAAGACUAACUACUGCGAAAGCAUUUGCCAAGGAUGUUUUCAUUAAUCAAGAACGAAAGUUAGGGGAUCGAAGACGAUCAGAUACCGUCGUAGUCUUAACCAUAAACUAUGCCGACUAGGGAUCGGAUGAUGUUAAUUUUUUAAUGACUCAUUCGGCGCCUUACG